Molecule: ribosomal RNA, 269 nt
Filed under: uncultured prokaryote
Description: partial 16S ribosomal RNA
Rfam family: Bacterial small subunit ribosomal RNA
Source: RNAcentral
UACGUAGGUGGCAAGCGUUAUCCGGAAUUAUUGGGCGUAAAGAGCGCGCAGGUGGUUGAUUAAGUCUGAUGUGAAAGCCCACGGCUUAACCGUGGAGGGUCAUUGGAAACUGGUCGACUUGAGUGCAGAAGAGGGAAGUGGAAUUCCACGUGUAGCGGUGAAAUGCGUAGAGAUAUGGAGGAACACCAGUGGCGAAGGCGGCUUCCUGGUCUGUAACUGACACUGAGGCGCGAAAGCGUGGGGAGCAAACAGGAUUAGAUACCCGGGUA